GUGCGAAAGCGUGGGAGCAAACGGAUUAGAUACCCCGGUAGUCCACGCCGUAAACGAUGUCUACUAGCCGUUGGAGGACUUGAUCCUUUGGUGGCGCAGCUAACGCGAUAAGUAGACCGCCUGGGGGAGUACGGUCGCAAGAUUAAAACUCAAAUGAAUUGACGGGGGCCCGCACAAGCGGUGGAGCAUGUGGUUUAAUUCGAAGCAACGCGAAGAACCUUACCUACUCUUGACAUCCAGUGAACUUUUGAGAGAUCAAUUGGUGCCUUCGGGAACACUGAGACAGGUGCUGCAUGGCUGUCGUCAGCUCGUGUUGUGAAAUGUUGGGUUAAGUCCCGUAACGAGCGCAACCCUUGUCCUUAGUUACCAUCAUUAAGUUGGGGACUCUAAGGAGACUGCCGGUGACAAACCGGAGGAAGGCGGGGACGACGUCAAGUCAUCAUGGCCCUUACGAGUAGGGCUACACACGUGCUACAAUGGCAUGUACAAAGGGUUGCCAAGCCGCGAGGUGGAGCUAAUCCCAUAAAGCAUGUCGUAGUCCGGAUUGGAGUCUGCAACUCGACUCCAUGAAGUCGGAAUCGCUAGUAAUCGUGAAUCAGAAUGUCACGGUGAAUACGUUCCCGGGCCUUGUACACACCGCCCGUCACACCAUGGGAGUGGGUUGCUCCAGAAGUAGAUAGCUUAACCUUCGGGAGGGCGUUUACCACGGAGUGAUUCAUGACUGGGGUGAAGUCGUAACGAGGUAGCCGUA
Molecule: ribosomal RNA, 751 nt
Filed under: uncultured bacterium
Lineage: Bacteria
Description: bacterial SSU rRNA
Rfam family: Bacterial small subunit ribosomal RNA
Source: RNAcentral